Molecule: ribosomal RNA, 460 nt
Filed under: uncultured bacterium
Lineage: Bacteria
Description: partial 16S ribosomal RNA
Rfam family: Bacterial small subunit ribosomal RNA
Source: RNAcentral
CCUACGGGAGGCAGCAGUGAGGAAUAUUGGUCAAUGGACGAGAGCCUGAACCAGCCAAGUAGCGUGAAGGAUGACUGCCCUAUGGGUUGUAAACUUCUUUUAUAAGGGAAUAAAACAGGGCAUGCAUACCCUCUUGUAUGUACCAUAUGAAUAAGGAUCGACUAACUCCGUGCCAGCAGCCGCGGUAAUACGGAGGAUCCGAGCGUUAUCCGGAUUUAUUGGGUUUAAAGGGAGCGUAGAUGGAUUGUUAAGUCAGUUGUGAAAGUUUGCGGCUCAACCGUAAAAUUGCAAUUGAAACUGGCAGUCUUGAGUACAGUAGAGGUAGGCGGAAUUCGUGGUGUAGCGGUGAAAUGCUUAGAUAUCACGAAGAACUCCGAUUGCGAAGGCAGCUCACUGGACUGCAACUGACACUGAUGCUCGAAAGUGUGGGUAUCAAACAGGGUUAGAUACCCUAGUAGUC